Molecule: long non-coding RNA, 1076 nt
Organism: Pipistrellus kuhlii (Kuhl's pipistrelle)
Lineage: Eukaryota; Metazoa; Chordata; Mammalia; Chiroptera; Vespertilionidae
Exons: 2
Source: RefSeq, a predicted model, not a curated record
UAUAUGAGGACACGAAAGUUUGUUUGAUUUUUUAAACCUAAGGCAGUAAAAAUUGCUAACAUUGUUGAUUUGUUUUUAAGCCAGGCUCCUAUUUUCCAAGCUAAAUGACCAUGAUGUUACCUACUUCCUAGGGCUGCUAUGAGAACUGAAUGAACCAGUUGCUUGUGUAAAGCACUAGACACGUAGUAAUGAUAACCGUGCGUGCAAAAGACUUUACAUUAGAUUGUUUAAUAGAAAUACCCUUAGCUUGUGAGUGAAGUUGGCCUGACAGAAAGUUUGCACUCAACAGGAGGCGAGGGGCUUCGGUUCUCUGGAUGCUCAGCAUCCCAGGUGUGGCUGACAAGGAUGACCCUCUCCUGGCUGCACUGCGAAAUGGCCUUUGCAUGGACAUUAUACGGAAGGACAAGGCAGCAGAUAAGGAAACCAUAGUCCCACAGAAUAUAGUUUAGAUGGGGGCAUUUUUAUAUUUAAAGUGACUAAAAAUAGGAAUCUGGAUUAAAUAUCUUCCCCAAUGCUAAGUUCCAUCAUUUUGUUGGAGGGAAUAGAAGCACGGACACACACAUGCUGGUUGCCUACCAGAUUCCAGCUGGUCCUUCAUACUAUAUUCUAGAAUCAUGUGCUCAAUUCUCUGGCUCAUGGGAAUUUUUUCCUUCUAUCACAGCAUCUCCUCCCCUCCAUGGGCAGUGUGAGUUGAUGAUCCUUACUCUGCUUUUUCAGACCCACCUGUUAUUUUUUUUUUGGCAGAAGCACAGCUUUCAACACCUCUCUGAAGAAGGCAUAGGACAGCAGAAAGUACAUGCUUUGGCAACUUCCGAUGAACAAUUUUAGAUAUCAACUUAAAGUGGGAUGGGACACCUGGUUUUGGAACAACUUCUAGGAAGUACACGGCUUUACAACACUGCCCAGGUGAGGCUGGGGGGGCGGCCUGGAAUACAGUUACCUGGGAAGGGAGGGAGGCUGCUUGUUAGGAAGAUGCAGAUUCCUGGGCUCCACCCAGAUUGAGUUAUAUAGGUUUGGGUUGGACCCUAAGUAAGUCAAUUUUCAACAUGCACCCCUGCUGGUUGUCAUGCAAACUA